Molecule: non-coding RNA, 160 nt
Organism: Cinara cedri
Lineage: Eukaryota; Metazoa; Arthropoda; Insecta; Hemiptera; Aphididae
Source: the annotation of a GenBank genome assembly
UGUGUGUGUGUGUGUGUGUGUGUGUGUGUGUGUACGACGUAAUAUCCCUGUAACCGGAACCCGCGGGGCCACUUAUCGAUCGAGCGCAAUUUUUUUCCCUCUCCUAAAAUCGCCGCUCUCCCCUCACUCACACACACACACACACACACACACCCACGCA